Molecule: ribosomal RNA, 374 nt
Filed under: uncultured organism
Description: partial 16S ribosomal RNA
Rfam family: Bacterial small subunit ribosomal RNA
Source: RNAcentral
GUAGGUGGCAAGCGUUGUCCGGAAUUAUUGGGCGUAAAGCGCGCGCAGGCGGUUCGUUUAAGUCUGAUGUGAAAGCCCACGGGCUCAACCGUGGAGGGUCAUUGGAAACUGGAGAACUUGAGUACAGAAGAGGAAAGCGGAAUUCCACGUGUAGCGGUGAAAUGCGUAGAGAUGUGGAGGAACACCAGCGGCGAAGGCGGCUUUCUGGUCUGUAACUGACGCUGAGGCGCGAAAGCGUGGGGAGCAAACAGGAUUAGAUACCCUGGUAGUCCACGCCGUAAACGAUGAGUGCUAAGUGUUAGGGGGUUUCCGCCCCUUAGUGCUGCAGCUAACGCAUUAAGCACUCCGCCUGGGGAGUACGGCCGCAAAGGCUG